This 96-nucleotide ribosomal RNA is filed under the name Periophthalmus magnuspinnatus. The record is from RNAcentral. Lineage: Eukaryota; Metazoa; Chordata; Actinopteri; Gobiiformes; Gobiidae.
UGGGGCCCAUCUCCAGAUCACAGAAGCUAAGCAGGGCUGGGCCUGGUUAGUACUUAAAUGGGAGACCGUUGGGAAGGUACCACAGUGGGGCCCCAG